AUAGCCUACAGUAUAUAAGGGUCUUCUUUCCAUCAUUACUGCACCAUUACUGCACUGCACCACUUCGGCACUGUGCAGAGCCACAGAUACAAAGAGGCACAACAGUUCAGCCAUGGGUGGAGGAGAGUCAACACCUGCUCCUGCUCCUGCUCCUUCUCCUAAAAGUGAGAUACUUACAACAUUACAGAACAUUGUUUACUCAGAAGAAUACUUUGGUCGUCUACUCAUAAAAAGCAUAAAGAGUAGAUCGAAAGUUGUAAAUACAAUCCUGAACGUUGUCUAAGAUGUAUGAAAAUGCAAAUGUAUAACGACUGAUUAUUCAUUUGUGUUGUGGUUAUAU
Non-coding RNA from Gasterosteus aculeatus aculeatus (three-spined stickleback), 340 nucleotides. The record is from RefSeq and is a predicted model, not a curated record. NCBI's taxonomy places the organism in Eukaryota, Metazoa, Chordata, Actinopteri, Perciformes, Gasterosteidae.